CAGGGAGACAACAACUGAUCGUGAUGUCUGAGUUAUUGAUACUUAGGCCAUGAUCCUGUCACCUUAGGUCGAUCGGUACCUCAACAUUAUUUCAAAGGUUGAUGAGUAAUCGUCAUGAGAUUGGAAGAGAUGUUUAGUUCCUAAACUUGUCUAGGUCACACCCCGCAAGGGUUACUCCUGGGCCAUUAGCUCAGGUGGUUAGAGCGCACCCCUGAUAAGGGUGAGGUCCCUGGUUCAAGUCCAGGAUGGCCCAUUCGUUGUUGGGGGUAUAGCUCAGUUGGUAGAGCGCCUGCUUUGCAAGCAGGAUGUCAGCGGUUCGAGUCCGCUUACCUCCACUGAUCAACUACCUGAUAACUCAAAUUGGAGAUUGUUAUUUGUUAAAUGUGAUUUAGAUGUUGUUCAACUGAAGGAACCUAGCUUCCUAUCACUCCUGAAUUAAUUUUAGGCUGAUAAGACGCUGGGCUCACUGAAUGUUCUAAGGGACAUUCAGUUUUUUCAGCAGAACCUUGACAACUGCAUAGGAAAAUCUAGAAAAAUAAAGCAUCUCAUAGAUGCAUAGAAGUUUUUUCAUUUUUUAAUGAUCAGAUUUUUAUGUUCAAUUCUUGAGUUAGAGCAAAUUUUCUAUUACUUAAUUCAUUUAGAAAUAAGUGAUGACUAAUUAAUUUUAGAUAAGUUUAAUAGAUUAAU
This 687-nucleotide transfer RNA is filed under the name uncultured cyanobacterium. Its description in RNAcentral is "partial 16S-23S ribosomal RNA intergenic spacer". The stretch from base 263 to 335 matches the Rfam family "tRNA". Lineage: Bacteria; Bacillati; Cyanobacteriota. The record is from RNAcentral.